GGAUGAUGAGGAUAAAAAAAGGAAUUUAAUGUAUAUCUGUACUCAACAAUUAAUCAUUGCUAAUAAAAAACGAUUCUAAGCAGAGUUCGGUCUUCGGUUAUACAUGUUUUAAAGAGCCGUAGGUAAUAUUUAUGAUUUUCGUCAAAAUUCGAUAUCAAAAUGUUAAUAAAAAAAUAUAACAUUAAACUCAACGUUUUUUUUUUGGCCACUAUGUUACAACCUAUACUGAAACUCCUGUUAAAUUUUGAAUCAUU
This is a non-coding RNA of Cinara cedri, 254 nucleotides long. Lineage: Eukaryota; Metazoa; Arthropoda; Insecta; Hemiptera; Aphididae. The record is from the annotation of a GenBank genome assembly.